GCCCACGUUGGGGUAAUUAAGCCCUCUCCAGGUAGUUCUAAUCUGCAGCCACAUUGGGAUAAUUAAGCCAUCUCCAGGUAGUUCUAAUCUAAUCUGUUCAAUUUAUUUUUAGAGUCCCUGCCUCCCUGCAUCACAAUGAGGUAGGGAUGGACCAAAGAGGUGCCCUUUUUCAGGUGAGGCUUUUGGUUUAAAACAGCCAAUUUUACCCCAAGCUUCAUGUGAGAGUCUCCAGUAGAGCUUUUCACAAAGACAAAUGCCUGGGACCCACCCCCAAAUAAUUAAGUCUGAAUUACUUGGGUUGGCCUUCAAAAUGCUUUCCAGCAGUUUCCAUUGUAGAAUUGGGGCUGGGAAACUGUUUUACUGAUAAACUCAAUUGCAGACAGGCUCAAAAAUUUCGCUGAGUUUCUAGACUAGUGGGAGAGCUAUACUUGACCUGAAGCCAUGUUUGAGCUGUACAAAGUGUUAGUCAAGGUCGAGGGCAGAAUAACAGGGAAAUACCAGUGGAAAGGUCUCUAUGCACUGAGUGACUACCUUAGAACUGUGUGAGGAAUCGAGGCAACAGAUGUUAUGAGCCAAAUGAUAAUACGAGCCAACUGUGCUAGUGGAUGAUUGGAGGACCAAUCACAUUCAAGACCUUUAAUCGUGGCUGGCCCGCCCACAAGCUUCGGAGACUGCCCAGGCAGAGACGAACUAACCCCUUUCUCUAGCCUAGGGCCCUCUGACUUUCCUGACCUCCAGCGGGGCAAAGGAAAUGCCAGCUUUCUUUAGGCCCUGCAUCAGGGCCUGUGGCUUCAAAAAAUGCUCCAGUAUGAAAGUGAAGUGAGGAUCUGAAAUGGAAUCCGCCUCCAGGUAGAAGAACUGUUCUGUCACAGAGCAAGGUGCAGGAAUGGAUUCUCAGAGCAAAUCUCUCACAUGGCUCUGAUUUUUUUUCAAGGCAUGCUUGAAAGGAAUGACAAUUUUGAGAACCAGUAGAUUAUUUCAUACUGUCUUCCAAGCUCAUUAUUUUGUCUCACACGUACAAGUUGUGGGGCUACGGAUGGAACCUGCACCACAGCAGUGACCCAAGCUGCAGCAGUGACAACUCUGGAUCCUCAACCUGCUGAACUACAAGGGAACUCCCCACAAAUUCUUUUUAAUUAGAGCUACAAUGUUGAAGAAUAGGAUGCUGACUUCCUACAGCGGGAAGGGUCAGGUCAGGGAAGGUUUCUCUGAGAAUGUGAUGUGUAAGCUGAGGACUUCUGAGGCAGAGGUUAGGAUGGGGAUGGAUAUUCCAAAAGGAUUCCGGGCACCAGAAAGAAGUCAUGGUAAGGAGAACUCACUGUGGAUAUGUGUGCGUGUAUUAACAUAUAACCAUUUGCUACCUUCCUGUCUUGUUUUCCUACAGAGACGAACCAUUAAAUCCUCAAGGCCAAAA
This is a long non-coding RNA of Sus scrofa (pig), 1414 nucleotides long. RefSeq lists it as uncharacterized. The record is from RefSeq and is a predicted model, not a curated record. NCBI's taxonomy places the organism in Eukaryota, Metazoa, Chordata, Mammalia, Artiodactyla, Suidae.